This 893-nucleotide ribosomal RNA is filed under the name uncultured bacterium. Its description in RNAcentral is "bacterial SSU rRNA". It matches the Rfam family "Bacterial small subunit ribosomal RNA", at positions 505 to 1397 of the family's 1533-position model. The record is from RNAcentral.
GUGCCAGCAGCCGCGGUAAUACGUAGGGCGCAAGCGUUGUCCGGAAUUAUUGGGCGUAAAGGGCUCGUAGGUGGUUUGUCGCGUCUGGUGUGAAAUCUCAAGGCUCAACCUUGAGCUUGCAUCGGGUACGGGCAGACUAGAGUGCGGUAGGGGAGACUGGAAUUCCUGGUGUAGCGGUGGAAUGCGCAGAUAUCAGGAGGAACACCGAUGGCGAAGGCAGGUCUCUGGGCCGCAACUGACACUGAGGAGCGAAAGCAUGGGGAGCGAACAGGAUUAGAUACCCUGGUAGUCCAUGCCGUAAACGUUGGGCACUAGGUGUGGGACUCAUUCCACGAGUUCCGUGCCGCAGCUAACGCAUUAAGUGCCCCGCCUGGGGAGUACGGCCGCAAGGCUAAAACUCAAAGGAAUUGACGGGGGCCCGCACAAGCGGCGGAGCAUGCGGAUUAAUUCGAUGCAACGCGAAGAACCUUACCAAGGCUUGACAUACACCGGAAACUGCCAGAGAUGGUGGCCUCUUCGGACUGGUGUACAGGUGGUGCAUGGUUGUCGUCAGCUCGUGUCGUGAGAUGUUGGGUUAAGUCCCGCAACGAGCGCAACCCUUGUCCUAUGUUGCCAGCGGGUUAUGCCGGGGACUCAUGGGAGACUGCCGGGGUCAACUCGGAGGAAGGUGGGGACGACGUCAAAUCAUCAUGCCCCUUAUGUCUUGGGCUUCACGCAUGCUACAAUGGCCGGUACAAAGGGCUGCGAUACCGUAAGGUGGAGCGAAUCCCAAAAAGCCGGUCNCAGUUCGGAUUGGGGUCUGCAACUCGACCCCAUGAAGUCGGAGUCGCUAGUAAUCGCAGAUCAGCAACGCUGCGGUGAAUACGUUCCCGGGCCUUGUACACACCGCCCGU